Molecule: small RNA, 107 nt
Filed under: Marmota monax (woodchuck)
Lineage: Eukaryota; Metazoa; Chordata; Mammalia; Rodentia; Sciuridae
Source: RNAcentral
GCCAGGUGUGGUAGUGCAUGCCUGUAAACCCAGCCACCCAGGAGGCUGAGGCAGGAGGAUCAUAAGUUCAAGGCCAGUCUUGGCAAUUUAGUGAGAUCCUGUCUCAA